CUACGGGUCGCUCCAGUGAGGAAUAUUGGUCAAUGGACGCAAGUCCGAACCAGCCAUGCCGCGUGCAGGAUGACGGCCCUAUGGGUUGUAAACUGCUUUUAUUAAGGAAUAAACCCCAUUACGUGUAAUGGGCUGAACGUACUUAAAGAAUAAGCAUCGGCUAACUCCGUGCCAGCAGCCGCGGUAAUACGGAGGAUGCAAGCGUUAUCCGGAUUCAUUGGGUUUAAAGGGUUCGCAGGCGGCGUAUUAAGUCAGUGGUGAAAUCCCCCGGCUCAACCGGGGAACUGCCAUUGAUACUGGUAUGCUAGAGUAUAGUUGGCGUAGGCGGAAUAUUUCAUGUAGCGGUGAAAUGCUUAGAUAUGAAAUAGAACACCGAUCGCGAAGGCAGCUUACGAAACUAUAGCUGACGCUCAGGAACGAAAGCGUGGGGAGCGAACAGGAUUAGAUACCCUUGUAGUC
RNAcentral lists this ribosomal RNA (459 nucleotides) under uncultured bacterium. Its description in RNAcentral is "partial 16S ribosomal RNA". It matches the Rfam family "Bacterial small subunit ribosomal RNA", at positions 339 to 795 of the family's 1533-position model. The record is from RNAcentral.